RNAcentral lists this ribosomal RNA (253 nucleotides) under uncultured bacterium. RNAcentral describes it as "partial 16S ribosomal RNA". It matches the Rfam family "Bacterial small subunit ribosomal RNA", at positions 524 to 776 of the family's 1533-position model. The record is from RNAcentral.
UACGUAGGGUGCAAGCGUUAAUCGGAAUUACUGGGCGUAACGCGUGCGCAGGCGGUGCUGUAAGACAGGCGUGAAAUCCCCGGGCUUAACCUGGGAAUGGCGCUUGUGACUGCAGGGCUGGAGUGCGGCAGCGGGGGAUGGAAUUCCGCGUGUAGCCGUGAAAUGCGUAGAUAUGCGGAGGAACACCGAUGGCGAAGGCAAUCCCCUGGGCCUGCACUGACGCUCAUGCACGAAAGCGUGGGGAGCAAACAGG